This 484-nucleotide ribosomal RNA is filed under the name uncultured bacterium. RNAcentral's name for it is "partial 16S ribosomal RNA". It matches the Rfam family "Bacterial small subunit ribosomal RNA", at positions 30 to 507 of the family's 1533-position model. The record is from RNAcentral.
AUUGAACGCUAGCGGGAUGCUUUACACAUGCAAGUCGAACGGCAGCGCGGACUUCGGUCUGGCGGCGAAUGGCGAACGGGUGAGUAAUGUAUCGGAACGUGCCCAGUAGCGGGGGAUAACUACGCGAAAGCGUAGCUAAUACCGCAUACGCCCUACGGGGGAAAGCAGGGGAUCGUAAGACCUUGCACUAUUGGAGCGGCCGAUAUCGGAUUAGCUAGUUGGUGAGGUAACGGCUCACCAAGGCGACGAUCCGUAGCUGGUUUGAGAGGACGACCAGCCACACUGGGACUGAGACACGGCCCAGACUCCUACGGGAGGCAGCAGUGGGGAAUUUUGGACAAUGGGGGCAACCCUGAUCCAGCCAUCCCGCGUGUGCGAUGAAGGCCUUCGGGUUGUAAAGCACUUUUGGCAGGAAAGAAACGUCGCGGGCUAAUACCCCGUGGAACUGACGGUACCUGCAGAAUAAGCACCGGCUAGCUACGUG